Molecule: long non-coding RNA, 4788 nt
Organism: Eupeodes corollae
Lineage: Eukaryota; Metazoa; Arthropoda; Insecta; Diptera; Syrphidae
Exons: 3
Source: RefSeq, a predicted model, not a curated record
GGUAUAUAAUUUCUUUAUUAAAAUAUAACUCUUAUUUAAAGACUACAAAUCUAAUUCGACUGGCUUGGGCGCGUCCGUUGAAUAGAAUAGACGUUAGAAUACAAAUUUUUAUGAGAGCGAGCCAAACAACCUUUUGUCUCGCUUCUAUGUCUCAGGUUUCAGAGUUUCGCGCUCAGCGUGCGACAUCUAGCUACGAAACUCUGAAACCUAAACAUAAGGGGAAUUACACAUUAUUAAUGAUAGUUGCCUUAAUUUUAUACUACAACUCGGCCAAUCUGACAAUUUGAUCGCCCACGAUUAAAUUAAACAAACAAGUCUUAAGUUAUAAUCAUGAGAUGGUAGGUGUCGCCCUUAAUCAACCGAACCUUCAGAGUCUCGAUUCUUCCAAAGUCGAAUAUUUCGAGACUCGACAAUGCCAUCAUAUGGCAGCUGUGUGAUUUGACAACCUUCGAUAUCGCGUAUUACGUAUCUAUCAUUAGGUAGAAUUUUGUAAACAACGUAUGGGCCUCUGAACUUUGGAACCAAUUUCUUAUUUACACCGGUUGUUGUAUCUACAUUUUUUAUUACUACAUAAUCACCCUCAUCGUAUAUACGUGCCGGGUUAUUAUGCUCAUUAAAAUAUUUAAUAUUAUAUUCCUGAAUCUUAGUGAUUGCUUCUGAAGCCUUUUCUCUUGACAAUUCAAGAUUUCUUUCCAGUUGACUUAAUUGUUUAUCAUCAAGAAAUUCUGUUAAUUUGUCGAUUACUACUCCCCUUUGGUUAAUACCAAAUAACAAUUGACUUGGUGUAUUUUGAAUAGCGCGAUGUAUAGUGUUAUUUAGUCCGAAUUCUAUUUGUGUUAAAGUAACAACCCAAUCUGAGUGCUCGAUUGGUUCCGAAAGCUUAGCAAGCAUGCCAGUUAAUACCCUAUUGACUCGCUCUACUUGACCAUUGGCCUGUGGCGAAUGAACUGCCACCUUAACAUGAUCUAUAUUCUGGUCUAUAACAAAUGAACUAAACUCUAGUGAUGUAAAGCAGGUUCCCCUAUCAGUAAUUACUCUUGAUGGCCUACUGUAAUACUCAAAAUAUUUUCUUAGUGCUGCACAUACUUCUUUUGAGCUUGUAGAUACAACUGGGGAGAGGACCAAGAUGAUCCAAGUGUAUUGUAUGGAAUGGAAUGGGCUCCUUAGGAAUAUUGAACAAAUUGCGUAUAUUAGAUCGAACUGGUGCUGAGUGCAUUAUGCAACGGAUACAAUUUUUAAUGUAUUUUUCAACUUUUUCCUGAACAUUCGGAAACCAAUAGUGACGGCCAAUUUGAUCAGAGCUUUUUGUUACACCUAAAUGCCCAAUUUUCUCAUGGAUCAUUCUUAUAACAUUAGUUUCCAUUUCAGAUGGGACAUAGAAUCGAAGUUUACCAUUUUUAUUUUUUUUGAAGACAAUACCAUCCUGAACUAAAAACGAAUUAUUAUCUUUUAAAUAUAGUUUGUUUUUCAUUUCCAAAAUCUUUACAUCUCGAUUUUGGGCUGCUCUGAGUUGGAAAUCAACAUCCUCAGAGUCAAUAACGGAUAUAACAUUACAUCUGCUUAAGGCAUCAACAUGAUUCAUAUUGGCACCACUACGAUGUUUGACCUUAUAAUCAUAAUCCUCCAGCUCUAAGGCCCAUCGAGCAAUUCUAUGAUUAACAUUCUUUUUGUUCAGUGUCAUUGUUAAAGAACUGCAAUCAGUUACGAUUGUAAAAGGAAUACCUUGCAAAUAAACACGGAACCGACGUAAAGCUGAAAUUAUGGCUAAAGUUUCCAAUUCAAAACUAUGGUAUUUGGCCUCUUGAUCAGUGGUGCUUUUAGAGAAGAAUGCUACCGGAUGUAAUUUAUCAUCUUCUUGUCGUUGGAGUAGAACUGCACCAUACCCUAAUGAACUUGCAUCGCAAUGCAGUUCUGUUUCUUUCCUUGGACUAUAGAUUGCCAAUACAGGUGGAGAUGUUAACCGUUCCUUUAAAGUCUGAAAAACAUCUUCGCAUUCGGAAGUAAAUCUAAAAGGAGUUUCAGCUUUUAAUAAAUUAUAAAGAGGUCUUGCUAUUCUUGAAAAGGAUUCGACAAACCUGCGAAAGUAUGAACAAAGUCCUAAAAAUGAAUGCAAUUUCUUUCUGUCUUUAGGCACAGGAUAUUGAGCAAUCGCUCGAAUAUGGGAAUCACUAGGUUGGAUGCCAUGUUCCGUUACUUUAAACCCUAAGUAAUCAAGUUUCGAAUAUGCAAAGCGACAUUUUGACAAGUUGAGCUCCAACCCAUUCUUCGCUACACAACAUAAAAUUUUAGUAAGUAUCUCAAAAUGUUCAGUAAUAGUUUUACUAGCAAUUAAUAUAUCAUCUAGGUAGACAACUAUAUCUCCUCUGUCUAUAAAUUCACGAAAAAUUUGAAUUAUGAAUCUCUGAAAAACACUGGGCGCAUUCUUAAGGCCGAAAGGCAUUUUAAGAAAUUCCCAUUGACCGUUCGGGGUUACGAAAGAUGUUAAUUGUGUUGAAUCUGCUGCUACCUUUACCUGGUAUUCAAUGCAAUCGUCUAUCAAUGGUAUUGGAUGAGGAUCUCUUACUGUACGUUUGUUCAAUGCUCGAUAGUCUAUACACAUUCUGGUUUCACCAGAUUUUUUCUUAACUAAAACUAUUGGUGCAGCAUACGGAGAACUACUUGGCUGAAUAAUUCGUUUUUCCAAUAGGUCUUUUAUUAUUUCACUCACAGUACCUUUUUCUGAGACUGAUAGCCUUCGCGGAGCAAAACAAACAGGAAUAUCAGAUGUAAGUCUAAUGUGCAUCUCAAAAUCCUUUGGUGAAACCAUAGUUUUAUCAAAAUUCAAAUAAUUUUGAGAUACUAUAUUUUUAAUAGUUUUUGAAAUGUCUAAACUAAGAUUUGAAUCAAUAUCUAUAUAAUCUUUUCUAUCCCAUAUAAUCUCAAAAGCAUGGCAGCCAAAUAAAUCACUAUCUACCUCAACAUUAUUGUAUUCUCUCUUCACAUCAAGAUCGUCUUUAAGCUUAAUCCGAUCAUGAUCAAAUGUAUUCAACUUGUCUUUGAAGCAAUCACUAAGUUCUUUAGGUUGUAUCUUUAAUUCACCGGCUAAUACGCUGCUCCCAAAAACAUCAUUUAUGUUGUUCUUAUAAUGACUACACUCUGAAGGUUCGGUUUUUUCAUCAGAAUAAGUGCACAUAUACAAUUGGUUAGAAAGAAAAACUUUAUUCGAACAAAUUUCAUUUUGACACUGCUCAGAAGUUAUAUUAACUUUAUUACAGUUCAUGUUAAGUUUUAUAUUAAAGAUUUCAAGGAGAUCACGACCAAUAAGUAAAGGUAUAGGAGUUACUUCAUCUGGAAUAACCAUAAGGGAAACAAGAUUUAAAUUAUCUUUUAUAUUAAUAUAACAAUUAAUCGUACCGUACGUAAAGAGUUUAAUGUUUCCUAAUCCUUUAAAUCUUGAAUACGUUAAUGAUUCUUGAACGUUAAUUUCUUCAGGCAGAACAGACUUUCGUAUGAAACUAAUCGGACUACCGGUAUCCAAAAGAGAACAACAAUCGAUAAAUUUUGUGCACUUAUUCUUAUUUGUCAUAAAGGCGACACUCACCAUCUGAACAGCAUCCAAACUCUGAGUCAGCUCCUUGGUGUCAUCAUUAAGGGCAUCCCGGUUCACGGCUCCAACUCUGGUCUUCACAAUAUAAGGGCAGUUUUUGUAAGUGUGCCCCUCGUCAGCACAUUUGAAACAGGAUCCAGCUGGUCGUUGCUCCUUUGGACAUUUUGCUGCGAUGUGCCCAUACUUUGAGCAAUUAAAACAUCUCUUGGACUGCUCGUUGUUUGAUGCUGAAGUUGAGGGAACCAUAUUUCCUCCAGAAGUUGUUGCCCUAGCAACCAUAGUCCUCGGAACUCUUCUUUUUUCGUAUCGUGGCAAGAGGUUUUUGAGCUCUACUAUAGUUUUGGCGGCAAAAAGAAUAGAGACAUUUGCUGGUGAAUCCCUCAAACCAUCGAUAAUGAAUUCGAUCAACUCUGCCUCAUCGAUUUCAGCAUGUGACCCAAGUUCUUGCAUACAUAUGACAUAUCGAAGAAGUGGCUCGCCCUGACGACGUACUCUCUCACUCAGUUGACGAUAGACCUGCUGUCUGCUCAUCUUAUGGUCGAAUUCUUUGAUAAGUAUUUGCUUCAAAGAAUCCCAGUUGUCAACGUAGACCGUGCGUAACAGCAUUUUCGCAGUUCCCUGCAUGAGACGGCGUGCAGACAAGUACUUGCAUCGGUCAUCGCAUCCCAGCGAGUCGGUCACAUCUUCGUAGUCAACUAUCCAUUUAGUGAUGCUGUAUGGAUCGUCACCGUUGAAUGCAGGAACAGCAUUUUCGAUGUCUGAGAAGUCCACUGCACGCCAUGGUGCAACCGAAGAUGUUGUGGGCGCUUCCAUCUGGUCCAAUUCUUUCCUUAGCUCAAGGAUUUUUUUCCGACGCUCAAGUCUGGCCAGCUCUUGUUCUUCUUCCAAGUCUUGGACAUCAGAAGCUGUAUUACUGUGCCUGUUAUCAGAAGCGGCCAGUGUUUCGGAAGUAUUCUCUCCAUUCGGAGAUGCAGAAGGUGGAGUUUCCUCGGUUAGCUCAGCAGAAGGUGGAGUUUUCUCAGUUAACUCACCAGAAGGUUGUUGGGGUGCCACUGUAACUGUACUUUCAUACAAUGCCCGAAGUUGAGCUAGAGAAGCCGUGUCUGGCACAUCUACUCCAGCGCUCUGAAGUGCUUCAACCAAUUGUGCUUUGUUGAGUUUUGUCAUAGCUGGCUUUAAAUCCGCAAAAAGAGGUAAUAUAC